UGGGGCGUGGCCAAGUGGUAAGGCAACGGUUUUUGGUCCCGUUAAUCGGAGGUUCGAAUCCUUCUGUCCCAA
RNAcentral lists this transfer RNA (72 nucleotides) under Eptatretus burgeri (inshore hagfish). It matches the Rfam family "tRNA". From Rfam's summary of the family: Transfer RNA (tRNA) molecules are approximately 80 nucleotides in length. Their secondary structure includes four short double-helical elements and three loops (D, anti-codon, and T loops). Lineage: Eukaryota; Metazoa; Chordata; Myxini; Myxiniformes; Myxinidae. The record is from Rfam by way of RNAcentral. RNAcentral also lists the same sequence under 4 other names.